GAGAGUUUGAUCCUGGCUCAGGACGAACGCUGGCGGCGUGCCUAAUACAUGCAAGUUCGAACGAAGCUGUUUUAACUGGUGCUUGCACGACUUAAACAACUGAGUGGCGAACGGGUGAGUAACACGUGGGUAACCUGCCCCAAAGCGGGGGAUAACAUUUGGAAACAGAUGCUAAUACCGCAUAACCACAGAAACCACAUGGUUUCUGUGUCAAAGAUGGUUUCGGCUAUCACUUUGGGAUGGACCCGCGGCGUAUUAGCUAGUUGGUAAGGUAACGGCUUACCAAGGCAAUGAUACGUAGCCGAACUGAGAGGUUGAUCGGCCACAUUGGGACUGAGACACGGCCCAAACUCCUACGGGAGGCAGCAGUAGGGAAUCUUCCACAAUGGACGAAAGUCUGAUGGAGCAACGCCGCGUGAGUGAAGAAGGUUUUCGGAUCGUAAAACUCUGUUGUCAGAGAAGAACGUGUGCGAGAGUAACUGUUCGUGCAGUGACGGUAUCUGGCCAGAAAGCCACGGCUAACUACGUGCCAGCAGCCGCGGUAAUACGUAGGUGGCAAGCGUUGUCCGGAUUUAUUGGGCGUAAAGGGAACGCAGGCGGUCUUUUAAGUCUGAUGUGAAAGCCUUCGGCUUAACCGAAGUCGUGCAUUGGAAACUGGGAGACUUGAGUGCAGAAGAGGAGAGUGGAACUCCAUGUGUAGCGGUGAAAUGCGUAGAUAUAUGGAAGAACACCAGUGGCGAAAGCGGCUCUCUGGUCUGUAACUGACGCUGAGGUUCGAAAGCGUGGGUAGCAAACAGGAUUAGAUACCC
Molecule: ribosomal RNA, 809 nt
Filed under: Lactobacillus sp.
Lineage: Bacteria; Bacillati; Bacillota; Bacilli; Lactobacillales; Lactobacillaceae
Description: bacterial SSU rRNA
Rfam family: Bacterial small subunit ribosomal RNA
Source: RNAcentral